GAGGCAGGUGGAUCACCUGAGGUCAGGAGUUCAAGACCAGCCUGGCCAACUUGGUGAAACCCUGUCUCUACUAAAAAUACAAAAAAUUAGCCAGCUGGGCAUGGUGGUAGGCCCCUGUAAACCCAGCUACUCAGGAGGCUGAGGCAGGCAGAUCACUUAAGGCCAGGAGUUUCAGACCAGCCUGGCCAGCAUGGUGAAACCCUGGCUGUACAAAAAAUACAAAACUUAGAAGGGCACAGUGGCAGGUGCCUGUAAUCCCAGCUACUCGAGAGGCUGAGGCAUGAUAAUCGCUUGAACUCGGGAGGCAGAGGUUUCAGUGAGCUGAGAUAGUGCCACUGCUCUCCAGCCUGGGCGACAGAGCAAGACUCUGUCAAAUAAAUAAAUAAAUAUUGAAAAACACACUCACACACACAUAUAUGCAGAGAAAGAGAUAGGAAGUAUUGGGAAGGGAGUAAGGAAGAGGAGAGUUCAAUACAUGUUUUAGAAGUCUGGCAUCUAUUACUAGUUAAAUUCUGAUUUUUUUCAUUUAUUAUUGUGCCAUAAAAAUGUUUUCGUAUCACAGCACAGUCUUUAAAAACAUUGCAAAAGUCACGCUGAAGGAAGCUAUUAAAC
RNAcentral lists this long non-coding RNA (612 nucleotides) under Homo sapiens (human). Its description in RNAcentral is "HSALNT0029427". Lineage: Eukaryota; Metazoa; Chordata; Mammalia; Primates; Hominidae. The record is from RNAcentral.